UACGAAGGGGGCGAGCGUUGUUCGGAUUUACUGGGCGUAAAGGGCGCGUAGGCGGCCGUUUGCGUCGGAUGUGAAAGCCCGGGGCUCAACCUCGGAACGGCAUUCGAUACGGGACGGCUGGAGACCGGGAGAGGAGAGUGGAAUAGCCAGUGUAGAGGUGAAAUUCGUAGAUAUUGGCUGGAACACCGGUGGCGAAAGCGGCUCUCUGGCCCGGUUCUGACGCUGAGGCGCGAAAGCGUGGGGAGCAAACAGG
Molecule: ribosomal RNA, 253 nt
Filed under: uncultured bacterium
Lineage: Bacteria
Description: partial 16S ribosomal RNA
Rfam family: Bacterial small subunit ribosomal RNA
Source: RNAcentral